GGAACGCGCCAAGGAACUCAAACUGAAUCGCACGUCUCCCUCCCCCGUUCGCGGGCGGCGGCGGCGGCGUCAUUCCAUAACACAAACGACUCUCGGCAACGGAUAUCUCGGCUCUCGCAUCGAUGAAGAACGUAGCGAAAUGCGAUACUUGGUGUGAA
RNAcentral lists this ribosomal RNA (158 nucleotides) under Pittosporum undulatum. Its description in RNAcentral is "5.8S ribosomal RNA". The stretch from base 88 to 158 matches the Rfam family "5.8S ribosomal RNA", at positions 1 to 71 of the family's 154-position model. Lineage: Eukaryota; Viridiplantae; Streptophyta; Magnoliopsida; Apiales; Pittosporaceae. The record is from RNAcentral.